CUCAACCACCCACCUAAAAAAAAUAGGGGAUGAUCAGCAUUCAUAGGGCCAAAUGAAUCUUUUGUGGACACCCAGACCUGAACCCCACUCAGCUUUCACUCUACCCUGAGGCCCUGUUCUCUUUCAGCAUCUUCCUCCUAAAUCCCCGCCAGCUACUCGCACGGGCAGGGGGGGAUAUGAAGAGGAGCCCCCCUGGCAAAACCAAAAUUCAGCACCUGUGUUCUGCUGAAUGAAAGGGCCGGAGCGACGGGCCUGCAGAACGAAGGAGAAGGCACCAAACACUGGAUGAAAAGGACAGGGCUGUCUUCUUGAUUUCGGCACGGACAGGCAUGUGCACACAGAGCUGUCUGAGAAAUACCUUCCCCAUCCUGUGGACAUUUUUUAGAUUUCUGGGAAGUUUUUCCUGUCCCGAAUCAGGCUGAAAACUCAACCUUUCUAAAACUUUUGUGAAAUGUAAAAUCGGUGGGUUUUUUUUCCAUUUUCAACUAUUUUUAAAAAAUAGAGGCAUGAUCAGUAAAUAAAAAGUCAUUUUCAGCCUGAAGACUUUUGGUUAAAAAUGUCAACACAGGGGCACUUGGACAAUGCUGAAACUUUUCCCAAGCUGUUACAAAAUGACUCGAACCCACCCUUACCUCCGGAAAGCGGCUGUUUAGAGGAGCGGAGACACGGAGCGGCAUGGUGGCCAGCUGGAAGCUGUCUUCAUUCUGCCUGUGUCAAGUGGACAAAAGUGACGUCAAUGGUGGAACACUGCUGAACUCAUCUGGAGGCCCACCAGGGAUAUAUUUGCUCCGCUGUUGCUGGUUGAUCAGCUAUUCAAGAGAAAUUAACCAAUUAAAAUAGCUCUUGGCCAAUA
This is a non-coding RNA of Pelodiscus sinensis (Chinese soft-shelled turtle), 853 nucleotides long. The record is from RefSeq and is a predicted model, not a curated record. NCBI's taxonomy places the organism in Eukaryota, Metazoa, Chordata, Testudines, Trionychidae.